This 624-nucleotide ribosomal RNA is filed under the name uncultured bacterium. RNAcentral describes it as "bacterial SSU rRNA". It matches the Rfam family "Bacterial small subunit ribosomal RNA", at positions 64 to 735 of the family's 1533-position model. The record is from RNAcentral.
GAACGAAGCCUUCGGGCUUAGUGGCGGACGGGUUAGUAACGCGUGGGAACGUGCCUUUCACUACGGAAUAGUCCCGGGAAACUGGGUUUAAUACCGUAUACGCCCUUCGGGGGAAAGAAUUUCGGUGAAAGAUCGGCCCGCGUUAGAUUAGGUAGUUGGUGGGGUAAUGGCCUACCAAGCCUACGAUCUAUAGCUGGUUUUAGAGGAUGAUCAGCAACACUGGGACUGAGACACGGCCCAGACUCCUACGGGAGGCAGCAGUGGGGAAUCUUGGACAAUGGGCGCAAGCCUGAUCCAGCCAUGCCGCGUGAGUGAUGAAGGCCUUAGGGUCGUAAAGCUCUUUCGCCAGGGAUGAUAAUGACAGUACCUGGUAAAGAAACCCCGGCUAACUCCGUGCCAGCAGCCGCGGUAAUACGGAGGGGGUUAGCGUUGUUCGGAAUUACUGGGCGUAAAGCGCGCGUAGGCGGAUCGGAAAGUUGGGGGUGAAAUCCCGGGGCUCAACCCCGGAACUGCCUCCAAAACUAUCGGUCUAGAGUUCGAGAGAGGUGAGUGGAAUUCCGAGUGUAGAGGUGAAAUUCGUAGAUAUUCGGAGGAACACCAGUGGCGAAGGCGGCUCACUGGCUC